Limulus polyphemus (Atlantic horseshoe crab) is the source of this 236-nucleotide long non-coding RNA. RefSeq lists it as uncharacterized. The record is from RefSeq and is a predicted model, not a curated record. Lineage: Eukaryota; Metazoa; Arthropoda; Merostomata; Xiphosura; Limulidae. The transcript has 2 exons.
AUUUUCAGAGCCUAAGCAAAACUAAUGUAAAGAGGAAUUUAUGCUGCUAAUUGUAUAUUAUUUGCAGGAGUUGAUCAGAAUGUGUCAGCUAUACUAAAGUUUAGUAAGGGGAGGUUGGCAACAAUAUCUUUUACUUCUAAUGUUCAACUGCCAUGUGAACUAGAAGUGGUUGGUACUAAAGGCAUUCUGAAGAUUCCAUUUCCAAUGUGGUGUGGAACAACCUUAAUCACUCCUGA